CACAAAAGGGCCAUUACAAUAACGGAGCGGUCUAAUAUCAAAAUUAAGAAAAUUAGGUAUGUCUCCACCAACGAUCAGGCAAGAUCGAAGAAACUCUGGCAUAUGCAUCCCAACUAAGAUUGCAAACUUAGAAUAAUAAAAAAGAGAUAAAGCUUGAAAAAACCAAGCCAUAACAAUACAAAUAAAACUCUCACCAAGGAGAGAUGAAAGGCUCUCACAAAAUAAAGAUGAAAAACUCUCACAAAAGGAGAGGUGAAAACUACACAGAGAACCCAAAGAGUCUCUGCAACUUAUUUCAAACAUAAAGAAAUUGCGAAAAAGAUGGUGGUGGAGAUCUGACGCCGAAAUGCAGGUGAAGAUCCGACGCUGAGCCGCAGCCGCCACUAAUGGUUGGAUGAAAAUCAUAACAAAACUAAGACAAAUAGGGAAAACCCUUUGUCUUUGAAAAUGGGGGAAGAGGUGAAAGGAGGAAGAGAGGAAGAGAAGAGAGGAGAGGGGGGAAGACCAAUGGCUUCUUCCCCCCUCAAUGUGGAAAAGGCUCUAAGAGUGUUUUUUUG
Molecule: long non-coding RNA, 557 nt
Filed under: Prunus dulcis (almond)
Lineage: Eukaryota; Viridiplantae; Streptophyta; Magnoliopsida; Rosales; Rosaceae
Description: sRNA ncRNA
Source: RNAcentral